Molecule: ribosomal RNA, 300 nt
Filed under: uncultured Methanobrevibacter sp.
Lineage: Archaea; Methanobacteriati; Methanobacteriota; Methanobacteria; Methanobacteriales; Methanobacteriaceae
Description: bacterial SSU rRNA
Rfam family: Bacterial small subunit ribosomal RNA (bases 52-300)
Source: RNAcentral
AGAAAAGCCGUCAGGUGAGCGGCGGGAGAUGGGAGGGGGAAAGCGUUAUCAGGUGUGAUGGUGUGUAAAGGUGGUGCAGGCGUACUUUGGAGGUAGCGGUGAAAUCUCCGGGGUCAACCCGGAAAGUGCCAUGGAUACUAUUGGUCUUGGAUGUUUUUGAGGUGGGCGGGACGGGUCAUGUAGCGGUGAAAUGCAUAGAUAUGACCCGGAACAACGAUUGCGUAGGCAGCCCACUAAGCAACGAUUGACGGUGAGGCACGAAAGCGUGGGGAUCAAACAGGAUUAGAUACCCAAGUAGUC